This 960-nucleotide unclassified non-coding RNA is filed under the name Leishmania donovani. Its description in RNAcentral is "gene:unknown". Lineage: Eukaryota; Euglenozoa; Kinetoplastea; Trypanosomatida; Trypanosomatidae. The record is from RNAcentral.
GGUUGUUUGAAAAGCCGAAGCUUCGGUUACAAGUAUCCUCAGCUGGAAGGGGGUGGGCGGCUUCUGGCCGAAGACGCCUCUGAAUGCGCAAGGGAAUAGGGAGGGUGUUCGCCCCCACAGCCUCUAAAGAAAUCGCUGGGGCGGUGGGAACCCUGGCGUGGUGUUCGGGACCGGGGGCCACCCCGCCGGGAAUGCAAACAGCCCCCUUCUGCGCGCCAAUGCCGGGCAGCUUCUGGCGGUUGCAGCCCGAAGUGUCUGAGGCGCAGGGGGGUUGGCGCGACUCAUUUCUGUUGAUGUCGGUGGUGCCAUGUCUUGGAUGGCGUUGUGUCGGGGAGACCUGCUACUGUGAACGCGCUUUUGCCACUUGUGUGACGGGCGAAGUGCCAACCUGGCUUGGAAGUAUCUCCUUCGGCCCUCAUCGCCUACUAGUUUGGGGCCUUGGCUACUGCAGGGGGUGCGCGGGAUGGCGGGGGCGGCUGUGGGGGUGACCUGCGGUGCGGGGGGUGGUUGGUGGAGUGUGUGUGAGGAAGCCGUGCUCAGCUGGCUGGGUCGGCGCAUUGCCGUGACGCGUGUCUGCGGCUGCUUGGCGCCACAAAAUGGGGGCUGCGACAGGCCGGGUAGUGUGGAUUUCAGCUCAUGCUUUAUGGCCGGACGGAGACAUUGAAAGAAGAAAAAAGGAAAACCAACGUCUUCUGUGGGGCCGGAAUUUGGGGCAGGGACACCGUGGCAAGAAAAUGCUGUCAGCCACAAUGGAGGUGAAGUAUGAUAAACUGUAUCUGAUUUUCAAAGCGUCAGGGAGCUGAACUUUCUCGUAUGAAAGCUUGCAACUUCUAGGUGAUGUGCUCAUAGAUGUAUUAGCUUUUUAUCUUGUGUACUAAGGGACCCGAUCGAUGGGUUUAACCUAUUCCACUGAAUCAUCACACUUGAAGCGAGUCUUUAAAUGCCUGGAAAAACGAAAAU